CCUGCCGGCGACCGGCGCACGGGUGAGUAACACGUAUGCGACCUGCCCCCGCAGGGGGAUAACCGGGAGAAAUCCCGACUAAUACCGCGUAACGCCGCGGACCUGCAUGGGUCUGCGGCCAAAGGAAGCGAUUCCGGCGGGAGAUGGGCAUGCGGCGCAUUAGCUAGUCGGCGGGGUAACGGCCCACCGAGGCGACGAUGCGUAGGGGUUCUGAGAGGAAGGUCCCCCACACUGGUACUGAGACACGGACCAGACUCCUACGGGAGGCAGCAG
This 273-nucleotide ribosomal RNA is filed under the name uncultured bacterium. Its description in RNAcentral is "partial 16S ribosomal RNA". It matches the Rfam family "Bacterial small subunit ribosomal RNA", at positions 84 to 354 of the family's 1533-position model. The record is from RNAcentral.